GGGGCUGUAGCUCAAUUGGUAGAGCGCCACAAUGGCAUUGUGGAGGUCGACAGUUCGAUUCUGUUCAGCUCCA
Molecule: transfer RNA, 73 nt
Filed under: Candidatus Margulisiibacteriota bacterium
Lineage: Bacteria; Bacillati; Candidatus Margulisiibacteriota
Also listed under: 1 other name
Description: tRNA-Ala
Rfam family: tRNA
About the family: Transfer RNA (tRNA) molecules are approximately 80 nucleotides in length. Their secondary structure includes four short double-helical elements and three loops (D, anti-codon, and T loops).
Source: RNAcentral